RNAcentral lists this transfer RNA (94 nucleotides) under Stieleria magnilauensis. Its description in RNAcentral is "Planctomycetes bacterium TBK1r tRNA-Arg". Lineage: Bacteria; Pseudomonadati; Planctomycetota; Planctomycetia; Pirellulales; Pirellulaceae. The record is from RNAcentral.
UGGAUCAUCGCUGGCGUACUUGGCGGUUUCCUGUUCCGCCCAGGCGACGAAUUGGGGGUCGGCCUGGCGUUGGUGGGAUUCCAGCUGUUUCUUC